CUUCGGGGGCAAGUAGAGUGGCGUCCGGGUGAGUAACACGUGGGUAAUCUGCCUCCGGGUGGGGAAUAACACCUCGAAAGAGGUGCUAAUACCGCAUAAUGCAGCGGCACCUAAUGGUGAUUAGUUGUUAAAGCGGGGGAUCGCAAGACCUCGCGCCU
Molecule: ribosomal RNA, 158 nt
Filed under: uncultured Acidobacteriota bacterium
Lineage: Bacteria; Pseudomonadati; Acidobacteriota
Description: uncultured Acidobacteria bacterium partial 16S ribosomal RNA
Rfam family: Bacterial small subunit ribosomal RNA
Source: RNAcentral